Molecule: ribosomal RNA, 253 nt
Filed under: uncultured bacterium
Lineage: Bacteria
Description: partial 16S ribosomal RNA
Rfam family: Bacterial small subunit ribosomal RNA
Source: RNAcentral
UACGUAGGGUGUGAGCGUUGUCCGGAAUUAUUGGGCGUAAAGGGCUCGUAGGCGGUCUGUCGCGUCGAAAGUGAAAACCCAGGGCUUAACCCUGGGCCUGCUUCCGAUACGGGCAGACUAGAGGUAUGCAGGAGAGAACGGAAUUCCUGGUGUAGCGGUGAAAUGCGCAGAUAUCAGGAGGAACACCGGUGGCGAAGGCGGUUCUCUGGGCAUUACCUGACGCUGAGGAGCGAAAGUGUGGGGAGCGAACAGG